This is a non-coding RNA of Rattus norvegicus (Norway rat), 69 nucleotides long. NCBI's taxonomy places the organism in Eukaryota, Metazoa, Chordata, Mammalia, Rodentia, Muridae. The record is from Rfam.
GGGGAUUUAGCUCAGUGGUAGAGCGCUUGCCUAGAAAAUGCAAGGCCCUGGGUUCGGUCCCCAGCUCCG